UGGGUUGUGGCUCAGUGGUACAGCACUUGCCUAGCAUGUGUGAGGCACUGGGUUCGAUUCUCAGCACCUUAU
This 72-nucleotide transfer RNA is filed under the name Marmota marmota marmota (Alpine marmot). It matches the Rfam family "tRNA". From Rfam's summary of the family: Transfer RNA (tRNA) molecules are approximately 80 nucleotides in length. Their secondary structure includes four short double-helical elements and three loops (D, anti-codon, and T loops). Further hydrogen bonds mediate the characteristic L-shaped molecular structure. tRNAs have two regions of fundamental functional importance: the anti-codon, which is responsible for specific mRNA codon recognition, and the 3' end, to which the tRNAs corresponding amino acid is attached (by aminoacyl-tRNA synthetases). tRNAs cope with the degeneracy of the genetic code in two manners: having more than one tRNA (with a specific anti-codon) for a particular amino acid; and 'wobble' base-pairing, i.e. permitting non-standard base-pairing at the 3rd anti-codon position. The record is from Rfam by way of RNAcentral. RNAcentral also lists the same sequence under 3 other names. Lineage: Eukaryota; Metazoa; Chordata; Mammalia; Rodentia; Sciuridae.